UCCCUGGUGGCUCAGAGGGUAAAGCAUCUGCCUGCAAUGCGGGAGACCCAGGUUUGAUCCCUGGGUUGGGAA
RNAcentral lists this transfer RNA (72 nucleotides) under Odocoileus virginianus texanus. It matches the Rfam family "tRNA". From Rfam's summary of the family: Transfer RNA (tRNA) molecules are approximately 80 nucleotides in length. The record is from Rfam by way of RNAcentral. RNAcentral also lists the same sequence under 4 other names. Lineage: Eukaryota; Metazoa; Chordata; Mammalia; Artiodactyla; Cervidae.